CACGGGUGCUCGGUGAGAUUCCGGGCUGAGAUGCAGGCAAGCUGCGACCGUAGAACCUGAUCCGGGUAAUGCCGGCGCUAGGGAGGAAGAAAAA
Molecule: non-coding RNA, 94 nt
Filed under: Corynebacterium pacaense
Lineage: Bacteria; Bacillati; Actinomycetota; Actinomycetes; Mycobacteriales; Corynebacteriaceae
Source: RNAcentral